GAUGAACGCUAGCUACAGGCUUAACACAUGCAAGUCGAGGGGCAGCAGGACGAUAGCUUGCUAUUGUUGCUGGCGACCGGCGCACGGGUGAGUAACGCGUAUCCAACCUGGCCCACAGUAGGGAAUAGCCCGGCGAAAGUCGGAUUAAUGCCCUAUGUUCUUGACAGCAGACAUCUAACGUCAAGCAAAGAUUCAUCGCUAUGGGAUGGGGAUGCGUCUGAUUAGGUUGUCGGCGGGGUAACGGCCCACCGAGCCUGCGAUCAGUAGGGGUUCUGAGAGGAAGGUCCCCCACAUUGGAACUGAGACACGGUCCAAACUCC
RNAcentral lists this ribosomal RNA (320 nucleotides) under uncultured Prevotella sp. RNAcentral's name for it is "bacterial SSU rRNA". It matches the Rfam family "Bacterial small subunit ribosomal RNA", at positions 28 to 339 of the family's 1533-position model. Lineage: Bacteria; Pseudomonadati; Bacteroidota; Bacteroidia; Bacteroidales; Prevotellaceae. The record is from RNAcentral.